RNAcentral lists this ribosomal RNA (184 nucleotides) under Balistes capriscus (grey triggerfish). RNAcentral describes it as "partial small subunit ribosomal RNA". The record is from RNAcentral. Lineage: Eukaryota; Metazoa; Chordata; Actinopteri; Tetraodontiformes; Balistidae.
GGUUAUACGAGAGGCCCAAGUUGAUAGCCACCGGCGUAAAGAGUGGUUAAGAAAUCCAUAACAAAUUAGAGUCGAACGCUUUCAAGGCUGUUAUACGCACCCGAAAGUAAGAAGCACAACAACGAAAGUGGCUCUACUAAUUCUGAACCCACGAAAGCUAAGGUACAAACUGGGAUUAGAUACC